AUACGUAGGGGGCGAGCGUUGUCCGGAAUGAUUGGGCGUAAAGGGCGCGUGGGCGGCCCGGUAAGUCUGGAGUGAAAGUCCUGUUUUUAAGAUGGGAAUUGCUUUGGAUACUGUCGGGCUUGAGUGCAGGAGAGGUAAGUGGAAUUCCCAGUGUAGCGGUGAAAUGCGUAGAGAUUGGGAGGAACACCAGUGGCGAAGGCGACUUACUGGACUGUAACUGACGCUGAGGCGCGAAAGUGUGGGGAGCAAACAGGAUUAGAUACCCUGGUAGUCCACGCGGUAAACGAUGAAUGCUAGGUGUUGCGGGUAUCGGCCCCUGCAGUGCCGGAGUAAACACAAUAAGCAUUCCGCCUGGGGAGUACGGCCGCAAGGUUGAAACUCAAAGGAAUUGACGGG
RNAcentral lists this ribosomal RNA (396 nucleotides) under uncultured bacterium. Its description in RNAcentral is "partial 16S ribosomal RNA". It matches the Rfam family "Bacterial small subunit ribosomal RNA", at positions 523 to 917 of the family's 1533-position model. The record is from RNAcentral.